GACGUAGGGCGCGAGCGUUGUCCGGAUUUAUUGGGCGUAAAGAGCUCGUAGGCGGCUUGUCGCGUCGACCGUGAAAACUUGGGGCUCAACCCCAAGCCUGCGGUCGAUACGGGCAGGCUCGAAUUCGGUAGGGGAGACUGGAAUUCCUGGUGUAGCGGUGAAAUGCGCAGAUAUCAGGAGGAACACCGGUGGCGAAGGCGGAUCUCUGGGCCAUUACUGACGCUGAGGAGCGAAAGCGUGGGGAGCGAACAGG
RNAcentral lists this ribosomal RNA (253 nucleotides) under uncultured bacterium. RNAcentral's name for it is "partial 16S ribosomal RNA". It matches the Rfam family "Bacterial small subunit ribosomal RNA", at positions 524 to 776 of the family's 1533-position model. The record is from RNAcentral.